AACAAGACAUGUAAGUUUAAACUUUAAAUUUUCAGAUGGUAUAAUUAUUGGUGAUUAUUAAUGACAACUACAGUUUUAGGUUUACAAGAAAAAAUAGCAAUCAGGCCCUCCAGAUUUAAAUGCCCAUAAUUAUCCCUUCUUAAUUUAUUUUUUUUAUGCAUAAGCAUAUUGUUUCCACACACAUUUAUGAAUUAUGACCUAUAGACAAUUUAUGCUGAAAUGAUUAUGAGAAGUUAAAAUAAUGAAUCACAUUAACCAUUUAAUAACCUUCACAAGAGAAUCACUCUGGGACAGUGUGAAUAGUCUUGUAAAACUUUUAGCUUUGUUAAACAAAGUCUUAUUUAGUAUGAG
RNAcentral lists this unclassified non-coding RNA (351 nucleotides) under Hevea brasiliensis (rubber tree). The record is from RNAcentral. Lineage: Eukaryota; Viridiplantae; Streptophyta; Magnoliopsida; Malpighiales; Euphorbiaceae.